Molecule: long non-coding RNA, 458 nt
Filed under: Panax ginseng (ginseng)
Lineage: Eukaryota; Viridiplantae; Streptophyta; Magnoliopsida; Apiales; Araliaceae
Description: long non-coding RNA (PGIN_LNC003014)
Source: RNAcentral
UCUAGAUUUAUUCCUCCCAUCUUUAAUUAUAAUGAUCCUUGAUCUUUUGAAACUCUCAUGUCCCUUAAGUUUUGAAACUCAUGACCUUUGAGUUUUAAAACCUCCAAGUAUUAAUGUUCAUGGACCUAUAAAUAGUAGCAUUGUAAAGAGAAUGGGAGAUAUACAAAUAUACUGUAACUUAUAUGAUAUGAGGAUGCUCUCUUUUCACUAAUCAUUGUUCUUAGUAUUAGUAUUCUUUUAUAAUACGUUAUCAGCACGAAUUGUUUCUCACUUUCGUUUUGAAGAUAAUCAUAUUUGAUUUGAAGAAUAAGCGUUUAGUCAGUUCUGUAUUGGUGCAAUAACAUCUUAUAGUGUUAUUUUUGCACUUUUUAUACUCAUAACAUAUUUGUGUGCUUAAUGUUGUAUGUUAGUGGUACUCUUUUCACAGUGAUUUUUCUGCUAGUAUGUGUCGCUGUAAG